AUGCAGGGUGGGUUAGAAUUUGGUUCAAGACAACUUAUUGGAAGUGGAUUGAAGCUUGAAGCUGAUGUUCGGGUCAUUGAAUCACUUAAAAAGAGGUUGCACGAUUAAAGCUUGAAGCUGAUGUUCGGGUCAUUGAAUCACUUAAAAAAAGGUUGCACAACUUCAAUAUGAACGAGAUGAUGAUGAUGGAGGUGGUGUGACCCGGAGGCGAUAUUAACGAUUUUCCAGCAACCUAGAUUUAACAACAUUGAAGAGUAGAGAUCCCAAUUUCCAAUCUUUUGUAUGACGAUUUUGACCCAAUAGCCGUUGCCACCCCCACACAGCCUUCCUCAUGUUGGAAAAAUGGGGAAUUCAAGAGUGCUAUAAGGUAAUGGAUGAUCAUCAAGCACGGGCACUACUCUGUUGUAUUUUUCUGCAUGCUAGAAUUGUUCAUCUACUUGCAAACAUAUUGAGUUUGGUUUCAUUGGGAUUCGCCUCGAGCAACAAUCUGGUUUAGAUGAUUAAACUACGUGAUUUCUAUGUCGUCUUCCUUACGGUGUGCUGGAGACUUCGGUAAACAAAAACGAGAAAGGUCUUUCAGAACAGGAACGUUUUGGUUGUCAACU
RNAcentral lists this long non-coding RNA (605 nucleotides) under Helianthus annuus (common sunflower). The record is from RNAcentral. Lineage: Eukaryota; Viridiplantae; Streptophyta; Magnoliopsida; Asterales; Asteraceae.